UACGUAGGGGGCAAGCGUUGUCCGGAUUUAUUGGGCGUAAAGAGCGUGUAGGCGGCUUUACAGGUCCGUUGUGAAAACUCGAGGCUCAACCUCGAGACGCCGGUGGAAACCGUAAAGCUAGAGUCCGGAAGAGGAGAGUGGAAUUCCUGGUGUAGCGGUGAAAUGCGCAGAUAUCAGGAAGAACACCCGUGGCGAAGGCGGCUCUCUGGGACGGUACUGAUGCUGAGACGCGAAAGCGUGGGGAGCGAACAGG
RNAcentral lists this ribosomal RNA (253 nucleotides) under uncultured bacterium. RNAcentral's name for it is "partial 16S ribosomal RNA". It matches the Rfam family "Bacterial small subunit ribosomal RNA", at positions 524 to 776 of the family's 1533-position model. The record is from RNAcentral.